This is a long non-coding RNA of Gavialis gangeticus (Gharial), 2062 nucleotides long. RefSeq lists it as uncharacterized. The transcript has 2 exons. Lineage: Eukaryota; Metazoa; Chordata; Crocodylia; Gavialidae. The record is from RefSeq and is a predicted model, not a curated record.
AGUGGAAAGGGAUGUUUGUGAUACAGGUUGUCCCUCUUUCGAUAGACGUAGGAGUCUUCACAGAACUUCUUCUGCACAGAACACCUCCAGCAUUUUAUAGGGGCAGUGUCAACAUAAACGUCAUAUAUUCAGUGCUGCCUAAUUUUGCAAUUUUACUGCCAGUCUCACAAUGGUUGGCGUUUACGUAAGGCCCUGGUUGCUGGUAUCAACAGACUGAAUAAGAGUCUCAGCUUUAUUAAAGAAGAAACGUAAGUUUAAAGACAAUAUAUGGCCCCAGUGUACCAUAAAAGCUCAGGACUCAGAAGGUGAAGACAAAGAACCCAACAUAUAUGAGUUUUCUUAAUAAUCUCCCACUUGGUAUUUGAAUUGUGAGGCUUUGGGGAUGGCAACACUGUAUAUAUUUUUUAAAUGCCCGAGAUAGGUUAGCACAACCACCCAACUCUUCAGGACAUGGUUAACUUUAUUUCUAGGUAUAUAUGUUUUAUCUACCUUUGUACUUCACUGAGCUUAGACAGUUAGAUUCACUAGGCUAGGCAAUUUCACAUUCUGCACUAGCCCAAUGCUACAGUGGUUUUCCAAUACCACAGGGUAGCAUUACAGUGGCAGGAAUGGAGAGCAACCACUGUUAUAUUCUACUAUAAAACUAACAGGUGACUUGGGAUGGGCUACCUUUGACCCUACUGCAGUCCCCCUUCCCUUUCUGAGUCCGACUUCCCAAACAGCAGGUACAGUAAUAUCCAAAAAAAUUUUGUCAACAGAGGAAACCAUCUAUAGAUAUAGUUCCACAAUUUUUUCAUAUUACCACUGCUUGAGGUUAUGCUGAACCCUGUACUGUGCUACCUAUUUAGUCAAUAUUGUUUUCUGGAACAAAGCAAAAUAUUUCCUGUAUACAUUUAAUAUAAGUGCAUUUACUAAGAGCCAAUGGGCAAAAGCUAAUUCAGGUUUUGCCAUCAAGUUCAAUGGGACCAAGAUUUACCCACUGCUUUGUUUUCCUGCUAUAAAGCACAAUUGUUUGAAGUGGAAGACAAAUAAGUAUGUGAGUUCCUUUCAGACUGAGGCUGUUGCAGGCUAGGUAGAAAAUUGUGGAAAUCCAUUGAUAAAAUAUUGAUAGCACAUCACUGCUGCAGGAGAAUGUUAAAAUACUUUUUUAAAAACUUCUGGCUAUUAUUUGGUUUUGUAAAAAACUUUUUUUUUGUAAAUAAAACUUAAAUUUGGACUUUGAACAGACAGAUGCACAUAAACCUUCAUAUCCAGGGCCCUCUGGUGCUUCCAGGGGAAAACCAGAAGAAACACAUCUCAAGCUGAUGAUAAAUAUGUUACCAGUCCAUAGGGGUUCAUUCUUUGACAGCUGAUCUAAGCAGUGAUCAUGAAAGAUGUAAUGACAGCCUGCUAUACACUGAUCUGAACUCAGUCUCACUUAAAAAGUUAGAAGGAGUUUGAUUGGUUUUAGUGGAGGUUGGAGACAAUAAAAGAUAACAGCUCAAAUGUGAGCUAAAUACACAGUAUCAGAGACCUAGGGCACAGGAAAUGAGGGUUAAUUUUCAGCCUUUUUGUUUUGCGGGUAACACGGAUAAAGGAGCAGAUAUCUUCAAGGGAAUUAGAAGACAUUUUAAAAUUCAAUAUUACCUAUCACUGUAUGAUCACUGAAGUCACACAAAUCAAGAGGCAUUAUAGAUGUAUUUCACACUUAUGUCCCUUGACAGUAUUAAAAUAUUAAUGGAAUCAUUUUGCCAUAAAAAGCAAAAACUACUGGAAACUCUUGAGCUUAAACAAUCAGCUGACAGAAGAAGGGAAUCUUUUAAAAAUAUAUUUUGUUUGACCUACUUAGAAAUAGAAGAGUGUAAUUUCAGGUAUUGUUUAUACAUACGUUUCAACUACGGUGGAAUUUUUUUUUUAAAACCUUAAAUUCGGCAGAGACAACCUGAAAUGUCCUCAAUUAAAUGUUCUUUCCUUCUGUUUAGCACAAUGCAUUGUAAAAUGACUACACCUCAGAAUCAAAUGGGAAAACAGUGGCAUUGUUAUUUAUAAUAAAAUAUAUAUAGCAAAAGCAAUCUGUAAAACA